RNAcentral lists this ribosomal RNA (1294 nucleotides) under Lactococcus lactis. RNAcentral's name for it is "bacterial SSU rRNA". It matches the Rfam family "Bacterial small subunit ribosomal RNA", at positions 122 to 1410 of the family's 1533-position model. The record is from RNAcentral. Lineage: Bacteria; Bacillati; Bacillota; Bacilli; Lactobacillales; Streptococcaceae.
AAAGGCCUUUGAGCGGGGGACAACAUUUGGAAACGAAUGCUAAUACCGCAUAAAAACUUUAAACACAAGUUUUAAGUUUGAAAGAUGCAAUUGCAUCACUCAAAGAUGAUCCCGCGUUGUAUUAGCUAGUUGGUGAGGUAAAGGCUCACCAAGGCGAUGAUACAUAGCCGACCUGAGAGGGUGAUCGGCCACAUUGGGACUGAGACACGGCCCUAACUCCUACGGGAGGCAGCAGUAGGGAAUCUUCGGGAAUGGACGAAAGUCUGACCGAGCAACGCCGCGUGAGUGAAGAAGGUUUUCGGAUCGUAAAACUCUGUUGGUAGAGAAGAACGUUGGUGAGAGUGGAAAGCUCAUCAAGUGACGGUAACUACCCAGAAAGGGACGGCUAACUACGUGCCAGCAGCCGCGGUAAUACGUAGGUCCCGAGCGUUGUCCGGAUUUAUUGGGCGUAAAGCGAGCGCAGGUGGUUUAUUAAGUCUGGUGUAAAAGGCAGUGGCUCAACCAUUGUAUGCAUUGGAAACUGGUAGACUUGAGUGCAGGAGAGGAGAGUGGAAUUCCAUGUGUAGCGGUGAAAUGCGUAGAUAUAUGGAGGAACACCGGUGGCGAAAGCGGCUCUCUGGCCUGUAACUGACACUGAGCUCGAAAGCGUGGGGAGCAACAGGAUUAGAUACCCUGGUAGUCCACGCCGUAAACGAUGAGUGCUAGAUGUAGGGAGCUAUAAGUUCUCUGUAUCGCUGCUAACGCAAUAAGCACUCCGCCUGGGGAGUACGACCGCAAGGUUGAAACUCAAAGGAAUUGACGGGGGCCCGCACAAGCGGUGGAGCAUGUGGUUUAAUUCGAAGCAACGCGAAGAACCUUACCAGGUCUUGACAUACUCGUGCUAUUCCUAGAGAUAGGAAGUUCCUUCGGGAGACGGGAUACAGGUGGUGCAUGGUUGUCGUCAGCUCGUGUCGUGAGAUGUUGGGUUAAGUCCCGCAACGAGCGCAACCCCUAUUGUUAGUUGCCAUCAUUAAGUUGGGCACUCUAACGAGACUGCCGGUGAUAAACCGGAGGAAGGUGGGGAUGACGUCAAAUCAUCAUGCCCCUUAUGACCUGGGCUACACACGUGCUACAAUGGAUGGUACAACGAGUCGCGAGACAGUGAUGUUUAGCUAAUCUCUUAAAACCAUUCUCAGUUCGGAUUGUAGGCUGCAACUCGCCUACAUGAAGUCGGAAUCGCUAGUAAUCGCGGAUCAGCACGCCGCGGUGAAUACGUUCCCGGGCCUUGUACACACCGCCCGUCACAGGGCCAUUA